Molecule: long non-coding RNA, 682 nt
Organism: Fukomys damarensis (Damara mole-rat)
Lineage: Eukaryota; Metazoa; Chordata; Mammalia; Rodentia; Bathyergidae
Exons: 3
Source: RefSeq, a predicted model, not a curated record
AGUCCCUGGCUGAACCCAGACUAGGGACUAAAAAUAGCCACUUCCCUGUUCCUUGUCCCAUUUUUGCCUGGGCUAGUGGCUCUGGUCUCUCAGCUGGAUGGGAGGUCUCAAGAGCUGCUCAUAGCCCCCUGGGUUCUAUCAGUUUUCCCGUGGGGGUCACUCCUACCUCUCAUGGGAGAGCACUCUUAGUGGAUGCAUUUACAGGGAGUAGAGACGGCUGUGGGUCCAGGCAUGUUAUUCAUAUGGGCCGAGUCGUCAUGCCCCAGAGCACGUGUUAGGCAGUGUCUGCUGCUGGGAUGUGUCAUGAGCUCUUGGGCCAGCUUUGCAGGAAGAAACCUUGCUGUCCUAGGUUGUGAACAUGCUAAGACGAACUCACUAUUGUAUACCUCGUCCUCACCAGGAAGGCAAGAAGUUUCCAAAACAGGUCUUUUUCACCCUUUACUUAACAUCAGCCACAAAACCUCUUUGUUGUCAAAAAGUAACAUCUCUAAACUUGUCCGUGAUUGAAAAUAAGUGGAGAAGAAUCUAAACAGCAAUCACCAUGGAAACAGACAAGCACGAAACCAAAGGAAUGAACACAAACCAGCUGUCCAGAAGCAAUAUUAGAGGAGUUUCAGGCAUGGUCCUAAAUCUUUCAGACCUGAAUCCCUGAAUUUCUUCUUCUAUCUCUAUACACAUUUUC